UUAAAUCAUGAUGAAUUUUAUACCGCCCCAGACUUAUUCAUCCUGAAUGAUUGGUUUCGCUGACUUGU
Molecule: small nucleolar RNA, 68 nt
Organism: Hyalella azteca
Lineage: Eukaryota; Metazoa; Arthropoda; Malacostraca; Amphipoda; Hyalellidae
Source: RefSeq, a predicted model, not a curated record